CAGUCGCCGCGGUAAUACGGAGGGUGCAAGCGUUAUCCUGAUUUAUUGGGUUUAAAGGGUCCGUAGGCGGAUCUGUAAGUCAGUGGUGAAAUCUCACAGCUUAACUGUGAAACUGCCAUUGAUACUGCAGGUCUUGAGUAAAUUUGAAGUGGCUGGAAUAAGUAGUGUAGCGGUGAAAUGCAUAGAUAUUACUUAGAACACCAAUUGCGAAGGCAGGUCACUAAGAUUUAACUGACGCUGAUGGACGAAAGCGUGGGGAGCGAACAGGAUUAGAUACCCCAGUAGUCCCUGUCUCUUAUAC
Molecule: ribosomal RNA, 301 nt
Filed under: uncultured bacterium
Lineage: Bacteria
Description: partial 16S ribosomal RNA
Rfam family: Bacterial small subunit ribosomal RNA
Source: RNAcentral